RNAcentral lists this ribosomal RNA (1647 nucleotides) under Triticum aestivum (bread wheat). RNAcentral's name for it is "partial small subunit ribosomal RNA". Lineage: Eukaryota; Viridiplantae; Streptophyta; Magnoliopsida; Poales; Poaceae. The record is from RNAcentral.
AUGGUGGAUGCAACGUUGUGUGGAGUAGAAUGCCCCCACCUCUCGCUGCUAGGAUCUUCACACCGAUGUUUGCGCGCGAGGGGGAGGGGGGCACUGCCGUUUUGUUUUCUCAUGCUUCUUCUCUUGACCAUGAUAUUGUCUUACGAUGAGCACGUCCAGGGUCAGAUUCCCGGCGAAUUAGCGGUUAAUUUGUUGUAUCCCAGUGCUAUGUUAGGCAUCAACGCAAGAGCAUGCAUCAGGCUCUUGCGUGUUUUCCUACCUGUUCGAAGCGCCCUGGUUAUCUCCAGCGAUAAAAGAUCUCGCUGCCACCGUCAAAAUUUUCGACCCCCACCGAGGGCGUUUUCAUCUUUUCACCCUUUUGCCCAUGUGUGUGGUUGGCCCUGGUUGGACGAGGGCGCCUGCUUCUCUUCACUCCCCCGAUUGGGUGAAACCCUAGCCAACGCUCCCCAAUCCCCAUCACAUCCCUCUCCUUCGCUCCCGCCGCCGCGCUCCCGUCCUCCCUUCCCCCCCUUCCCAGUCGCCGCACGAGGUGGACUGCGACCCACGCCCCUGUCGUCUCCUCUGCCCAGCCAAUCACCCCUCCUCUGUGUGCCUCCCUCCUCCUCCUCCUCCUCAUUGGGACCGGGCAAGGGGAUGAGUGCGGGCCGCAGAGACGACAAGGUGGCUGAGCUAUCCACGGCGCCGUCAUCGAUGAGACGCUCAUCCACACGCGGCAAGCCUUGGACUAGGACGCGCCACGAGAAGCAGACGGGGAGGCCAUUGCCAGGUGCGCCCCUCUCCCUCCCUCUCCUCUCUCCCUCUCUCAGAUGCAAUCCAACGACCUCUGCAUUUCCUUUCGCACUACAGCUGGUCCGAGAUCUGAGCGCACCCGUCGCCGCCGCCGUUCGUUGUCCACUUGGCUGCAGCCAUCCCCAAGAAGAGGGGAUGUCACGGCAGCGGGAUCCUCGCCUGUCUCCACUCCCUCACCUCCCCGUUCUGCUGGCAAGGGUGUGGUAUCCCAUGGGGGGUGCUUCUCGCUCGAGGAGUAACCACUCCAGAGCAGGAGCAGGACAGGUAUAUGGUUCCUGCGUGUGUGGUUUGGUGUCUGGGUUUUUCCCAAUUCCAGUCCAGAAGCAUGGAUUUAGGGAUUAUCUUACUUGGUUUUGGGUGCGGCUGCUGGUAGGCAAACCAUUUUGUAAGGGCCUCUAUCUGUGCACCAUGAUUUUAGUCUUCAGGAACCAUAAGAAUGGAGAAGUUCCAGAAAAGUUUGUCGAUCAGCUCAUGAUUAUACUUGAGGGAAGGAUCUAUGAAAUUCGAAGAGUUGUACCAAGGCCUACCACUUCUUUGGCCGCCAAUGUAAUUUCUAUCCAGCGCCUAUCUCUCUUACCAGCUUCCAAGGGAGUCCGGGGUGACGAGGGUGAUGGCACUGGCUCCGACAUAACAGAGUCAUGCCGCCUAAGGUUUUAUUGGUCCAUGACAAUGGGUAUAGCAAACCGAUUAGUGCGGUGUGCUUUGAAGAGAGCCAAAAGGAAGAGAGAGGCGAGUGUACAUGACCUGAAGACGGCAAGGCAACACUUCCACGACGACGUCAACAUCGUCGUGGUCUAUCUUCAGCGGCACCGGCACCGGGCCGUCAGAUCAGGGUCAUGGAGCGAAUACAUGGUCUGA